GCACAUCAGGCCUGUCAGAGUAGGGAGGGCCCCAUCUCUCUCUCAUCAAGGAAUACAAGCAGAAUUGGCAUACUGUCCUCUGGAAGGCUGCCUGCGGCCGCACCUCACCCCUCUGGCACUCUGGACAGGCUGGCCUUCCGGGCAGCUUCUGCCCCAGUUGCCCUGGUGUCCUCUGAGGAAGCACUGUGGAGAGGCAGGGAGGCAGAAGGCGCUGUGCUCUGGCUAGAACUGUGCAAUGCCUUGGUCACGGCUCCUCGAGCCAUCACUGCCCAGCGGCAUUGCUGCAUUUUGAGUCACGCUGCCAGCAGCAAUGAGACAUCUAUAGACUCUUGUCUGUGCAGGAUCAGAAAUGGGAGUAAGGACUCCUUGGUUCUGACCUAGCAGGUCUCUAAGAAACAAGAUCACAGCUGUAUCUGCCAGCAAAGAUUUAACUCUUGUUUCCAAAGCAUCAGCUGGCAAAUUAAUUAGUUCUUAGUGGCCAGCAGAGCAAUGGUGGUAAAGCGGGAGGGAGUCUCAUGGGCUGCUCCCCAUCUAGGUCCUGGGCUUGGCCUCUUGGAGAUAACUUUCUCUCGUUGGAGUGAGGCUCCGUGACAGCAGGAGUAUGUCCCUUGUUCACUCCUUUCUCAGCACCUGGAAUAGCACCAGGCAGAGGUGGCAUUCAGUCAGUAUUUGUGGGAUGAAUGAAUCCACCGCUGAAAUCUGGCCCGGGCUGGAGAAUGGGCUGGCCUCCUGUUCUGGAGGACAGAGCCCUUUGCAGUUCCACUCAGAGAAGGCCUUGGGCUGGAGAGAAUCAGUGUUAUUGCUCCUCUCUCAUCUUUCUUCUGUAAUUGAGUCAUCACUGAAGACUCAGAGACAGGAGAAAGCAAAACAGUGCAGGGCUCCCUCAGCUUUGUGGGGUGGGGGGCAGUAUUAGAAAGUGCAUAAUAAGGAUGUCGCCUUCUGGGUGUGUGGGGAACCCUGUUGAGGCAAAUCCGCAUAUAUUUGCAUACAUAUAUACACGCACCCUAACCUGCAAAGGGACGCCUAGCUCUUGCCACCUAUGAAAAGACUAAUCCUUCUAUUCUCUCCAGGAUGUGCUGAAUCAAAACUUAACUGCUAAUGUUCUAGAAAUCUUAGGGGGAAAAACACAAAAUGAACAUGCCAUUUAAAUUUUAAGUUUAAAAAUGUCAUUUUUGGUUUACAUUUUUUAAACUAGAAAAGAGCCUAUCUUGAAGACUUUCCAGGGUGGGAGAAAGGGAUACAGGCAAAGAUAAACUCAAUCCUGAACCUUCCGUUGAAAAGGAGACUGGAUCUACUGUUUCCUUCUUUCUCUGUGUGCCGUGCAGUAGCUCAACCCCGUCCUAACAAGAGGGCUAACACGGCUUGGAGAAAUUGGGUCUCUUCUUUUUCCAGAAUCAUCACACGUUUUCCGAAGGAAAAAUGGACUCUCACUUUCGAAAACACAAAACCACGUUUGCUUUACGUGCCGUAGAAAAGAACUCUGCGCGCCACGCGGAGAGCAGGCUGGGCGCCGGGAGCCGGCGAGCCGAGCGCCGCGGCGUGUUGUGUAACCGGCCCGGGAAUCACGUUGCACUGCCGAGUUCCACGGGCUCUUAGUGCAUUAAUAAGCUUGAUCUUUUUAUUCAAAUACAAGGAGCAACCACAGCCGGCUCCAGGUCACGUGUCCUGAUCACAUGGUGCUCAGACGCCGAAACCGGCUGGCGAUCAUUAACUAGUGCUUACUCCCGGGAGAGAAUGCAGGUUUUAAAGAGACGAACUCUUAUUUUUAUAAAACAGCCAGGACUGCAAUAGAAGGUGUGUUUUGUUUCGCAUUAUACGAAGAAUACUUUCCAAAAACACUGUGCAAAAUGGCCUCAGCCUUACAGGAAAAACCACCCGUGAUGCCCACAGUAUCUCUGGGGCUGACGCUGCAGGACACACUCGUGUUGUAAUGUGACCUCUGGAUCUGAGCCUACACAUCUCCGUGCUGGGUAAUUGUGUCAACCUCCUGCCUGGUCGAAUGAUUCUGGAAACAGUAUAGCAAGCAUCCACUUUAGAAUCUCCUUCUAGCUCUUUCUGGGAAGUACAGAUGCCCUCUCCCUGAGAACUUCUAUGGUCGUCAUCAAAGUUGUGCUCUCCAGAGAAAGCUCAGCUCACCACCAGUGACCCAUCAGGGUUCUUGGCCUCAGGAUCCCCGAGGGCGGCUCAUGGCGUCAGUUCAGGAGGACAGUUGGAGAACCACUGACUGAAAUGAUGACAUUUCUUGCUUCUUUAACUGUCCAACAGCAGCUGUGUUUAUAUUCCUGACCCGAGUCAUGGGAGACUCUGGAGAUAUCAAAAUGCUGCAGAAAAGCAAAUGGAAUAUGGAUUUGCCAGGGAGAGGAGAGCAGGCUGGAAAGGAACAGCUGGGGAGAGAGCCAUCAAUCCAGCACGGCAGCAGGGCCAGACGGACGCCGAGAGGGAGCCGCUAAAUGCCUGUGAGAGUCGUGACCAGUGAAAGCAGCAUAUUUCUGCCAAGAAAUGUGAUAUGUUGAAAAAGAAGAGGAAAUAUACUCUGGAGGCUGUGACUAUAAAAGGCUGUUUAAAGUGAUCGGAAUCAGUCGAGGUUCUCCCAGCAACCGUGGUUAUAAAAUUAGGAUCUUAAACUACCAAAUCUGGGUGAGAAAAAAAACUUCAGUAAAAGCGACAUCUAAAUUUAUGUUAUAUAACUUACAUUUCCCCACAGUGUUUGUCUUUUCUCUGGGCACGUCAGACCUUUUAUGUCGUUAAUUUCCGACCCUAAGAGCCAUUCCUAUUGGAGCAAGGCAGCGAGAUGGGGUGAGGGGGCACCGUGAGAAAGCACGGGUGUCUUUCCUGUGACCUCUGAAUCGGAAAGAGGGCGCCACGGUGAGAUGCCGACAUGUGCACGUGGGGUGUGUCAGUGUGUUGAUACCCGUGCUCAGGAUGCUGAACAAAACCUGGGUGGGAGGAGCUUUCCCCACCCAGGCCUUUGUCUCACUGGAAAUCUGAUGCCUUAACCCUCCGCCUCAACCCUCAGUGACUCCAGUCUGUAGCUGUACUGCUCUGUUAGUCAGCCCGCACAGCAUCUGAGACUUGGCCUUUUGCAGCCUGGUGCUAGCUCCAUAGGCUUCUUCGCCCCCCUUUGUCGAGGUCUUCAGCAACAGUUGAAGCUACAACUUCUGCUCCAAGUGACUCGGGGCUGUGAAUCGUCAGAGAAUCCAUUAUUUCUCCCUGGUUUUGGAGCUGACAGACAUGGGUGUGAAGCUCAGGUCCGUCGCUUAUUGGCCAAUUAGGAAAACUCUGUGAACACUGAUUUUCUUGCCUUGAAGGAUGGCACAGAGCUGAUACGCACGAGCUAUAAUUAGCUGCUUAACAUUUUUGCCAGUGACUUGAAUGGACCUUGAUGGUGAGAUUGCCAAGUCAUCAGGCAACCAGUUACCUUCUAACCCAUAGAAGGAAACAAACAACAGACUCAAGGUCUCAAAGGCUGUGUUUUUGUCCCAAAUCAACUUUCCAAGUACAGAACUGGGGGACAUGUGAUUUAAUGGCAGCACCUGUGUGAUCCUGUGAUAUAAUAAGAAAUAUGUAUUUUGUCUUCAUCCCUCGUUCCUGGUACCAGAUCUUCUAAAACCCUUGGAAUUUCCUGAGUGACAGGGAUGACAGGAGCAUCUUUGUUAUUUAUAAUAAGCCCCUUUCAACCAUACUUGAGUUUAUGCUAAUGAAGUGACCCUUGUGGUGGUGGUGGGGGGGUCCCUUGAGAGCUUCAGGAUGGGAGCUCAUUGCCAGAGGAAGCCUAUGUGAUUAGAGGGUUGGAACUUUCAGCCCGACCCCCGACCUCCAGGGAGGGGAGAGGGACCAGAGAUUGAGCUAAUCACCAAAGGCCGGUGAUUUAAUCACUCAUACUUAUGUAAUGAAACCUCCCUAAAACCCCCUAAACCCUGGGGUUUGGAGAGCUCCUGGGUUGGUGAACACACUGAGGUCCUGGGAGGGUGACUGCCCAUGGAGGGCAUGGAAGCUCCCCCCUCCCCCUCCCCUAAUACCUUGUCCCAUGUCUCUCUUCCAUUUGUUCAUUCGUAUCUUUUAUAAUAUCCUUCACAAUAAACUAGUAGUAGUGAGUAACGUGUUCGCCUGAGUUCUGUGAGUUGUUAUAGCAAAUUAUUGAACCUAUGAUAGUCGGCUGGUCAGAAGUACAGGAGGCUCUGGGACUCGUGUGUGGCAUCUGAAGUGGGAGCAGUUUUGUAGGAUUGAGCCCUAACCUGUGGGAUCUGUGCUAACUCUGGAGGGUUGGUGUCAGAACUGAGUUAAAUUGUGGAACACCUAGUCGGUGUCCAGAGAUUUGGAGAAUUUGUUGGUGUGGGGAAAAACUCCCACUCAUUUGGUGUCAGAAGUGUUGUGAAUAGAAGAAGAUCAUAACCUGUGAAAUAGAUUUAGGAGUCUGGCACACAGUGAGCCCCUGUAGGGACAGAGCCAGG
This 4451-nucleotide long non-coding RNA is filed under the name Equus asinus (donkey). RNAcentral describes it as "lncRNA (ENSEASG00005025419.1)". The record is from RNAcentral. Lineage: Eukaryota; Metazoa; Chordata; Mammalia; Perissodactyla; Equidae.